GAUGAACGCUGGCGGCGUGCCUAAUACAUGCAAGUCGAGCGAACAGACGAGGAGCUUGCUCCUCUGACGUUAGCGGCGGACGGGUGAGUAACACGUGGAUAACCUACCUAUAAGACUGGGAUAACUUCGGGAAACCGGAGCUAAUACCGGAUAAUCUAUUGAACCGCAUGGUUCAAUAGUGAAAGACGGUUUUGCUGUCACUUAUAGAUGGAUCCGCGCCGCAUUAGCUAGUUGGUAAGGUAACGGCUUACCAAGGCAACGAUGCGUAGCCGACCUGAGAGGGUGAGCGGCCACACUGGAACCGAGACACGGUCCAGACUCCUACGGGAGGCAGCAGUAGGGAAUCUUCCGCAAUGGGCGAAAGCCUGACGGAGCAACGCCGCGUGAGUGAUGAAGGUCUUCGGAUCGUAAAACGCUGUUAUUAGGGAAGAACAAAUGUGUAAGUAACUAUGCACGUCUUGACGGUACCUAAUCAGAAAGCCACGGCUAACUACGUG
RNAcentral lists this ribosomal RNA (497 nucleotides) under uncultured bacterium. RNAcentral's name for it is "partial 16S ribosomal RNA". It matches the Rfam family "Bacterial small subunit ribosomal RNA", at positions 28 to 507 of the family's 1533-position model. The record is from RNAcentral.